RNAcentral lists this ribosomal RNA (491 nucleotides) under uncultured bacterium. RNAcentral describes it as "partial 16S ribosomal RNA". It matches the Rfam family "Bacterial small subunit ribosomal RNA", at positions 28 to 507 of the family's 1533-position model. The record is from RNAcentral.
GAUGAACGCUGGCUACAGGCUUAACACAUGCAAGUCGAGGGGAAACGACGGGGAAGCUUGCUUCCCCGGGCGUCGACCGGCGCACGGGUGAGUAACGCGUAUCCAACCUGCCUCUGACUGAGGGAUAACCCGUCGAAAGUCGGCCUAAUACCUCAUGGCAUCGUCUGCGGGCAUCCAACGACGAUUAAAGAUUUCAUCGGUCAGGGAUGGGGAUGCGUCUGAUUAGGUUGUUGGCGGGGUAACGGCCCACCAAGGCUACGAUCAGUAGGGGUUCUGAGAGGAAGGUCCCCCACAUUGGAACUGAGACACGGUCCAAACUCCUACGGGAGGCAGCAGUGAGGAAUAUUGGUCAAUGGGCGGGAGCCUGAACCAGCCAAGUAGCGUGCAGGAUGACGGCCCUAUGGGUUGUAAACUGCUUUUAUGCGGGGAUAAAGUGAGGGACGUGUCCUUCAUUGCAGGUACCGCAUGAAUAAGGACCGGCUAAUUCCGUG